RNAcentral lists this ribosomal RNA (156 nucleotides) under Triticum aestivum (bread wheat). Its description in RNAcentral is "rRNA 5_8S_rRNA". It matches the Rfam family "5.8S ribosomal RNA". From Rfam's summary of the family: 5.8S ribosomal RNA (5.8S rRNA) is a component of the large subunit of the eukaryotic ribosome. Lineage: Eukaryota; Viridiplantae; Streptophyta; Magnoliopsida; Poales; Poaceae. RNAcentral also lists the same sequence under 1 other name. The record is from Rfam by way of RNAcentral.
GACUCUCAGCAAUGGAUAUCUCGGCUCUCGCAUCGAUGAAGAACGUAGCAAAAUGCGAUACCUGGUGUGAAUUGCAGAAUCCCGCGAACCAUCGAGUCUUUGAACGCAAGUUGCGCCCGAGGCUACUCGGCCGAGGGCACGCCUGCCUGGGCGUCA